GGGGCGGUAGCUCAGCUGGGAGAGCAUCGCGUUCGCAAUGCGAAGGUCGGGAGUUCGAUCCUCCUCCGCUCCACCA
RNAcentral lists this transfer RNA (76 nucleotides) under Gammaproteobacteria bacterium. RNAcentral describes it as "tRNA-Ala". It matches the Rfam family "tRNA". Rfam says of the family: Transfer RNA (tRNA) molecules are approximately 80 nucleotides in length. Lineage: Bacteria; Pseudomonadati; Pseudomonadota; Gammaproteobacteria. The record is from RNAcentral. RNAcentral also lists the same sequence under 2 other names.